This 220-nucleotide long non-coding RNA is filed under the name Trifolium pratense (red clover). RNAcentral describes it as "long non-coding RNA (TPRA_LNC007278)". Lineage: Eukaryota; Viridiplantae; Streptophyta; Magnoliopsida; Fabales; Fabaceae. The record is from RNAcentral.
UUAAAAUACAUAUAUUUUAUUAAACCCUUUCUCCAUCAAAACUCUCUCAGAAUCGCAAACCCUUUCUCUCCACCAUGGUUCGCAAAACUCUCUCAAAAUCGCAGAAUCCUUUCGCAAAACUCUCUCUCAGAAUCGCAAAACCACCAUCGUUUCACAAUUGAAAAACUCCAUCAUCAAAAAAACACCAUCGUUUCACAAUCGCAAAACCACCAUCGUUUCG